Molecule: ribosomal RNA, 2700 nt
Filed under: Triticum aestivum (bread wheat)
Lineage: Eukaryota; Viridiplantae; Streptophyta; Magnoliopsida; Poales; Poaceae
Description: partial small subunit ribosomal RNA
Source: RNAcentral
AUGUCAGAAAUCGUCAACAACCUCCUCGCCAAGCUCACCGACCUUCUGGGCGACGAGUGCCAGAAGCUCGAAGGGGUGGAGCAUCAUGUGCGGUUCCUCGAGGAGGAGCUCAGCACCAUGAAAGCCUUCCUGGAGGAGCUGGGGCUGAGGGAUGAACUAGAUCCCUUGACCAAGGACUGGCGGGACCAUGUCAGGGACAUGGCCUACGACAUGGAAGAUUGCCUCGAUGACUUCCUUCUCAAUCUUGGAAGUGCCAGUGAAAACGCUGGUUUUAUCGAGCGGACCACUCAACUUGUCAAGACCCUGUGGGCGCGUCACCAGUUUACAAGCCAGAUUCAGGAGCUCAAGGAUCGUGCCAUAAAGGCGAAUCAUCGACGCAAAAGGUACAAGCUUGAUGAUAGCAGUAGCUCUAGCUCUACCCUUGUGCUCGUCGAUCCUCGGGUGUCGGCACUCUACAGAAAGGCGGCCUCCCUUGUGGGUAUUGAUGGUCCAAGGGAAGAGCUUGUCAGUUGGCUAGCAGAUAGAGAGGAAAAACUCAAGGUGGUGUCGGUUGUGGGAUUCGGAGGUCUUGGUAAAACUACACUUGCCAAACAGGUGUAUGAUAAGAUCGGCGAACAAUUCAACUGUAAGGCAUUUGUGUCGGUUUCCCAAAGACCCGACAUGGCAGUGCUCUUGAUUGGGCUACAAUCUAAGCUUGGGGGAAACACUUGUGGCACUCACGAGGUGCAAGAUAUCGUCAGUGAGCUUCAAGAGUAUCUCAGAGACAAGAGGUACUUUAUUGUAGUCGAUGACUUGUGGGAUCGACGAAGAUGGGAUAUCAUUAGUUGUGCUUUUCCAGAUAGUGGCAAUGGGAGUAGAAUAAUAGUAACUACACGAGUGGAAGAUGUGGCUCGACAGGCAUGUCACAAUCGCCAGCAGUGCAUUUACAAAAUGAAGCCUCUCAACGACCAAGACUCAAAAAGGUUAUUCUUUAGUAGAGUGUUUGCGCCUCAGUAUGCCGAUGCAUCCCAAUAUGAAGAAAUUUCAACUCAAAUUUUGAAGAAGUGCGGUGGACUGCCACUCGCUGUUAUUACAAUAGCCGGCAUAUUAGCUAGUCGUCCAGGAAUAUUAAGGCAGGAUUGGGAGAGCAUAAGGAGUUACUUGGGAGUUCAAUCUGCCACAGACCUCAGCAUGGAAGGAAUGAGGCGUAUAUUAAACCUUAGUUACAUGCAUCUUCCUGCUCAUCUUCGGGUAUGUUCCUUACAUCUUGGUAUGCAUCCAGAGGACCACGAGAUCAUGAGGGAUGAUCUCGUUCGACAAUGGAUAGCCGAAAGCCUUGUGCGUGGUUUACCUGGGCAAGAUUUGGAGGAUGUUGGAAGGAGUUAUUUCAAUGAGCUUAUCAAUAGAAGCUUGAUUCAGCCUCAUUGGACAGUUGCUGGGGAUGUGCUUUCUUGCAGAGUGCAUGAUAUGAUUCGUGAUGUUAUUAUCAGCAAAUGUGAAGAAGAAAAUUUCAUGAGUGUGGUAUAUAGUUUUGAAGACAUGGAAAGACUGCAUAAAUCCAAGCUCAAGGUUCGCCGUUUGUUCCUGAGCUCGAGUUCUAAUUAUGCAACAGAUGGUGCAAUAUCAAGGACCACUGCUGCUAGUCUGUCAAAGGUUAGAUCGAUUGUAUCAUUCGGAGAGUCCAAGUGUUUGUUACCUAGAUAUCUCCAGGUGCUGUUCGUUGAAAACAGUAGGAUCACAGUCGAUCUCAGUGAUAUCAACCGAUUGUUUCAUCUGCGGUAUUUGAAGGUUACAGCACGAGACAUAAAGCUUCCGUCUGAAUUGAAAAGGCUAGUGCAUUUGGAGACACUGGAACUGGAUGGUGGUUCGAUUCCAUCAGAUGUAGUUCAGUUGCCCCGUUUAUUCCAUCUGACUGCUUGGGGUCACAGGCUGCCUGAAGGGAUCGAGAACUUGAAAUUAUUGCGAACUCUGAAAGGGUUUGAGUUGACACAUUGCUCGUGGGAGGAUAUCGAAGGCCUAGGCAAGCUAUCCAAUUUGCGGGAGCUCUGUAUCUUCAUUAAAAAUGAAAUAAUUGAUGAUGAUCUGGUCUCCUCCAUUGAAAAGCUUCGUAACCUGAGACAUCUCAGGUUUCGUGUGCCGGAGUUUGUUGACAGUGACAGUCUGUUAUCAUUAUCUAAUGCACCCCUCUAUAUCGAGACACUUCGAAUGUGCGAUAUCGUGACCUUCAGAAUUCCAAGGUGGAUUGGUGAUCUCCAUUAUCUCCGUCGUCUGGAGCUGGCUGUUAGGGAGACAUCGACAGAUGACAUUCGUCUUCUUGGAGAGCUGCGCUCCCUAGUGGAGCUCGAUUUCACUUUGUUGAAUUUCGCUGCAAAUGGAGUUAUCAUAAUCCUUACAGGAUUAUUUCCAGCUCUGGAGUACUUUGAGUCAAAAUUAUAUGAGGAACCAGAUUAUCAGUUAAACUCUGCGGAAGACGAUGUUAUGGCACACCUGCACUUUGAGGUCGGGGCAAUGCCCAAGCUACAAAGGCUCGAGCUGCAUUCAUGGGAGGUGCACUGGGGCGGCACUACCCCAGUCGGCAUGGAGGACCUGUUAGCUCUCCAGCAAAUUGUGGUAUCAUUCGUCUACAGCAGUGACGUGAAUGAAGUGAAGCGUCGUGCCGAGUCUGCGUUCAGGGACUCCUUGCAAGCGCACCCAAACCGUCCUUCUGUUCGCAUCUUUUAG